RNAcentral lists this unclassified non-coding RNA (231 nucleotides) under Fusicolla violacea. RNAcentral's name for it is "partial internal transcribed spacer region". The stretch from base 1 to 47 matches the Rfam family "Eukaryotic small subunit ribosomal RNA", at positions 1785 to 1831 of the family's 1831-position model. Lineage: Eukaryota; Fungi; Ascomycota; Sordariomycetes; Hypocreales; Nectriaceae. The record is from RNAcentral.
AAAGUCGUAACAAGGUCUCCGUUGGUGAACCAGCGGAGGGAUCAUUACCGAGUUUACAACUCCCAAACCCCUGUGAACAUACCUAUCGUUGCUUCGGUGGGAUCGCCCCGGUGCCAUUGCGGCCCGGACCCAGGCGCCCGCCGGAGGACCCAAACUCUUGAAUUUAUGAAGUAUCUUCUGAGUAAACAAGCAAAUAAAUUAAAACUUUCAACAACGGAUCUCUUGGUUCUG